This 434-nucleotide ribosomal RNA is filed under the name uncultured Lachnospiraceae bacterium. RNAcentral's name for it is "partial 16S ribosomal RNA". It matches the Rfam family "Bacterial small subunit ribosomal RNA", at positions 341 to 792 of the family's 1533-position model. Lineage: Bacteria; Bacillati; Bacillota; Clostridia; Lachnospirales; Lachnospiraceae. The record is from RNAcentral.
ACGGGAGGCGGCAGUGGGGAAUAUUGCACAAUGGGGGAGACCCUGAUGCAGCGACGCCGCGUGAGUGAAGAAGUAUUUCGGUAUGUAAAGCUCUAUCAGCAAGGAAGAAAAUGACGGUACUUGACUAAGAGGCCCCGGCUAACUACGUGCCAGCAGCCGCGGUAAUACGUAGGGGGCAAGCGUUAUCCGGAUUUACUGGGUGUAAAGGGAGCGUAGACGGCAUAGCAAGUCUGAAGUGAAAUGCAUGGGCUCAACCCAUGAACUGCUUUGGAAACUGUUAAGCUAGAGUGCAGGAGGGGUAAGUGGAAGUCCUAGUGUAGCGGUGAAAUGCGUAGAUAUUAGGAGGAACACCAGUGGCGAAGGCGGCUUACUGGACUGUAACUGACGUUGAGGCUCGAAAGCGUGGGGAGCAAACAGGAUUAGAUACCCUGGUA